This is a long non-coding RNA of Nothoprocta perdicaria, 179 nucleotides long. RefSeq lists it as uncharacterized. Lineage: Eukaryota; Metazoa; Chordata; Aves; Tinamiformes; Tinamidae. The record is from RefSeq and is a predicted model, not a curated record. The transcript has 2 exons.
CAAGAAUUUGGGUCAAUACCUUUUGUACUUCCUUUAUUUUCUACGAACUGUCUGCACUGACUUUAUACAGGUGAUGAUAGGAACCUCUCUGAAGCUGCUUCGGGUGACCUCUGAAAUUUCUGAGAAUGUCUAAUCAAACCACUCUCCAGAAUGAUGUAUUGAGCCCAAGAUUUCCCUUA